AUUCCAGCUCCAAUAGCGUAUAUUAAAGUUGUUGCAGUUAAAAAGCUCGUAGCUGGAUUUCGGGUGAGGAUGACCGGUCUGCCGUUGCGGUACGCACUGGACGUUUUCAUCUUGUUGUCGGGGACGCGCUUCUGGGCUUCACUGUUCGGGACGCGGAGUCGGCGCUGUUACUUUGAAAAAAUUAGAGUGUUCAAAGCAGGCAAUCGCUCUGAAUACAUUAGCAUGGAAUAACGCUAUAGAACUCUGGUCCUAUUGUGUUGGUCUUCGGGACCGGAGUAAUGAUUAAGAGGGACAGUUGGGGGCAUUCGUAUUUCAUUGUCAGAGGUGAAAUUCUUGGAUUUAUGAAAGACGAACUUCUGCGAAAGCAUUUGCCAAGGAUGUUUUCAUUA
RNAcentral lists this ribosomal RNA (389 nucleotides) under Pyramimonadales sp. RNAcentral describes it as "partial small subunit ribosomal RNA". It matches the Rfam family "Eukaryotic small subunit ribosomal RNA", at positions 582 to 975 of the family's 1831-position model. The record is from RNAcentral. Lineage: Eukaryota; Viridiplantae; Chlorophyta; Pyramimonadophyceae; Pyramimonadales.